AUUUAUUUCACGGGAUCGCAACUGAACGUAGACGGGCCGAUUGCCUCUGUUGUCAAGGCGGCUCCGUCCGCUCGGUCCUACCUGACAAGCUGACUUCAGUAUCCUUGCUUUUUCGCACCACAGCAGAUAUGUUAUCCAACAUGGCGUCGUAGCAGUUUGCAGCCCUGUUUUCUAACGGAAAACGGCCGUUACGAGAAAGCGCGGGAUUCCAGAAAUACUGUUCAAAUCCGCCACUUCGCCGUAAAAAUAAUUAUGCAGAAUAAAUUUAUUCUGACGGUCAUCAGAUUCUGUCCAGUCUUCAGUUUGAUAUUUAGUUUUUUUGUCGUCGCUUCAACGUUAACGAUAAGCGAAGAAAUAUCACCAAUUUUCGUAUUUCUUUGCGCGCAAGUCUACGCAAAUUGGUUUUCGAUACACAGAAUUAGUCGGACAACCAUCGUAAUCGCCUCGAACUCAAACUUAUCAGCUCAGGGCGAUUCUUUCGCGGUUCAAGUCCAGACCGAUGAUUCAUCCACGAUUUGUCGCGUUCCCACAAUUAAACCACCGAUAAACAAAAACGACAAGUUUUGGUACUGCGAAAAAUGUAUUCAGUACACUUCUCGCCCCACCCGACAUUGCGUUCACUGCAAAAAAUGCUCUCAUUAUCGCGAUCACCAUUGUUUUUUGCUUGGCGGCUGCAUACUGCGGCAGAACAUGGGCAGCUUCAUUCUAAUUUGUCUCUACACUUCAUUCGCCUCAAUUUACUCCUUGAUCAUUAUCGGUUCCUACUUGUAUGAUCAUCUGGACCAUUUUUUCGGAGCUAAUUCGGGCGCCUUCCAACUCAUUUUGCACUUUUCCUUCCCGUUUGCUCUGGCGCGGUUUUUGUUGUACGGCCAAGAGUCCUGUGUUGUCUUAGUAAUGCUGUUCGAUUUACUCUUUGCUGUCUCAUCCAUCUGCCUGAUAUUCGGGCUGUGGAAAUUUCACGCUUGUCUAACUGGCCGGCAACGCUACUAUCCUCAUUCCAUCAAAAAAUACAACAUCAUCGAAAUAUUCGGGAGUUAUGGUCUCUGGAAUUUCCUCUUUCCAUUCAACGGCUUUUUCAGGGCUAAAAAAUUACACGAAACAGGCAUAUGGAAAGAAAUGUAAUCAUUUCUCAUUCUGCGUAUGAUCAUCAUUCCCCAUGUGUGAAAAAACUUUUUUUUCACUGCCGAAUCGUCGUAACAUCGAAAAAUGAUGUCUUAAGGCUGGAGAAAAAGAACGUAAAUUUUCAAAAGUUUCCUCCUAAAGUACAAGUUUUCUAUGUGGUUUCGUCUAAUAGGCCUCUCGCCACUUUGGUUGUAAUUAAUUGUGGAUUAUAUAAGAACAUUGAUGCAUAAAAUCACGUAACAAACAAAAUUGAAUAUUUUCGCCUUAAAUAUUAAUUUCAUUGUUUUCCAGUGAAAACUGUAGUGUGCAGCGAUAUAUUAUUUUUAGAGUAAUAGUGAAGUACCUACGAAUUUUCGAUAACAUGACGUAUUCUAAACCGAGGACAUGAAAGCAUGUUAUGUGAAAUUGCACAUCUGGAGCUCCAUAUUUUGGGUCAAGGAAAGAGCCCUACCAAUUUUAGCAGAAUUCGAAAUCUGGUGGUCUGAUACUUUUCUUAUGAGUGUGGAUAUCUAUGAUUUUUUUUAAAUCGAAGUUAGGACAUUGAAAGAAUAUUGUUAUUAAAUUAAAUAACAACAUUCUGUCUCUUUCUCAUAAUGUAUAUAAUAUGUAUAAUCGUUUAGUAUUACUUUGCUUCUUUGAACCUAAGUGAAAUAGAUAAAUCAAAUGUAAAUUCUAAGAACUGUAAAUAUACUAGAUUCAUAACGUUUUGCUAAG
Neodiprion virginianus is the source of this 1836-nucleotide RNA transcript. It is a transcript of the gene named palmitoyltransferase app-like, with no coding region annotated. The transcript has 2 exons. The record is from RefSeq and is a predicted model, not a curated record. NCBI's taxonomy places the organism in Eukaryota, Metazoa, Arthropoda, Insecta, Hymenoptera, Diprionidae.